Molecule: ribosomal RNA, 914 nt
Filed under: uncultured Bacteroidota bacterium
Lineage: Bacteria; Pseudomonadati; Bacteroidota
Description: bacterial SSU rRNA
Rfam family: Bacterial small subunit ribosomal RNA
Source: RNAcentral
CUUUGAUUUGGCUCAGGAUGAACGCUAGCUACAGGCUUAACACAUGCAAGUCGAGGGGAAACGACAUCGAAAGCUUGCUUUUGAUGGGCGUCGACCGGCGCACGGGUGAGUAACGCGUAUCCAACCUGCCCACCACUUGGGGAUAACCUUGCGAAAGUAAGACUAAUACCCAAUGAUAUCUCUAGAAGACAUCUGAAAGAGAUUAAAGAUUUAUCGGUGAUGGAUGGGGAUGCGUCUGAUUAGCUUGUUGGCGGGGUAACGGCCCACCAAGGCAACGAUCAGUAGGGGUUCUGAGAGGAAGGUCCCCCACAUUGGAGCUGAGACACGGUCCAAACUCCUACGGGAGGCAGCAGUGAGGAAUAUUGGUCAAUGGACGAGAGUCUGAACCAGCCAAGUAGCGUGCAGGAUGACGGCCCUAUGGGUUGUAAACUGCUUUUAUAAGGGAAUAAAGUGAGUCUCGUGAGACUUUUUGCAUGUACCUUAUGAAUAAGGACCGGCUAAUUCCGUGCCAGCAGCCGCGGUAAUACGGAAGGUCCGGGCGUUAUCCGGAUUUAUUGGGUUUAAAGGGAGCGUAGGCCGGAGAUUAAGCGUGUUGUGAAAUGUAGACGCUCAACGUCUGCACUGCAGCGCGAACUGGUUUCCUUGAGUACGCACAAAGUGGGCGGAAUUCGUGGUGUAGCGGUGAAAUGCUUAGAUAUCACGAAGAACUCCGAUUGCGAAGGCAGCUCACUGGAGCGCAACUGACGCUGAAGCUCGAAAGUGCGGGUAUCGAACAGGAUUAGAUACCCUGGUAGUCCGCACGGUAAACGAUGGAUGCCCGCUGUUGGUCUGAAUAGGUCAGCGGCCAAGCGAAAGCAUUAAGCAUCCCACCUGGGGAGUACGCCGGCAACGGUGCAACUCAAAGGAAUUGACGG